Molecule: non-coding RNA, 84 nt
Organism: Bombyx mori (domestic silkworm)
Lineage: Eukaryota; Metazoa; Arthropoda; Insecta; Lepidoptera; Bombycidae
Source: Rfam
UUAACUCAACUUUGUAUAGAGUUGGAACCUUUGCCUACGUCUGCCGCUAGGGGCGCUGUUCCAAUUCCAUACAAAUUUGAGUUA